This 375-nucleotide long non-coding RNA is filed under the name Leptinotarsa decemlineata (Colorado potato beetle). Its description in RNAcentral is "uncharacterized LOC111516331". Lineage: Eukaryota; Metazoa; Arthropoda; Insecta; Coleoptera; Chrysomelidae. The record is from RNAcentral.
AUUCAUUUGAAAACGUUUCAUUUUCUCAGGACCAAUCGGAAGUGCUUUAGUGGACAAAUACGGAUGUCGAUCGAUGACAAUCGUAGGGGGGAUCAUCUGUACAAUCGGCCUCACUCUCAGCUCCUACGCUAGAUCCAUCGGAGUAAUCAGUGGUUUCCAUAGCUUUCUGGUUCGAAAAGAGAAGAACUGUUGCCCUCGGGUUGGCAGCUAGUGGAACCGGGUUUGGGACUGCGGUUUAUUCACCUUUAGCCACUUGGUUCUUGCGAGAGUACGGCUGGAGGGGAACUUUGUUGAUCACGGCUGGUUUCUUUGCCAAUUUGUGUGUUUGUGGAGCUCUGAUGAGAGAUCCGGACUGGAUAAUCGAAGAAGAGUAAG